UACGUAGGGGGCAAGCGUUGUCCGGAUUUAUUGGGCGUAAAGAGCGUGUAGGCGGCUUGGUAGGUCCGCUGUGAAAACUCGAGGCUCAACCUCGAGAUGUCGGCGGAAACCACUUGGCUAGAGUCCGGAAGAGGAGAGUGGAAUUCCCGGUGUAGCGGUGAAAUGCGCAGAUAUCGGGAAGAACACCUAUGGCGAAGGCAGCUCUCUGGGACGGUACUGACGCUGAGACGCGGAAAGCGUGGGGAGCGAACAGG
RNAcentral lists this ribosomal RNA (254 nucleotides) under uncultured bacterium. Its description in RNAcentral is "partial 16S ribosomal RNA". It matches the Rfam family "Bacterial small subunit ribosomal RNA", at positions 524 to 776 of the family's 1533-position model. The record is from RNAcentral.